This 393-nucleotide ribosomal RNA is filed under the name uncultured bacterium. RNAcentral's name for it is "bacterial SSU rRNA". It matches the Rfam family "Bacterial small subunit ribosomal RNA", at positions 355 to 763 of the family's 1533-position model. The record is from RNAcentral.
UGAGGGAUAUUGGGCAAUGGGCGCAAGCCUGACCCAGCGACGCCGCGUGGAGGACGACGGGCUUCGGCUCGUAAACUCCUUUUCCCGGGGCCGAGACAAGGACGGUACCCGGGGAAUAAGUCUCGGCUAACUACGUGCCAGCAGCCGCGGUAAUACGGAGGGUGCAAGCGUUAUCCGGAUUCACUGGGUUUAAAGGGUGCGUAGGUGGGCAGAUAAGUCAGUGGUGAAAUCUUCCGGCUUAACCGGGAAACUGCCGUUGAUACUAUUUGUCUUGAAUAUUGCGGAGGUAAGCGGAAUAUGUCAUGUAGCGGUGAAAUGCUUAGAUAUGACAUAGAACACCAAUUGCGAAGGCAGCUUACUACACAAUCAUUGACACUGAGGCACGAAAGCGUG